Molecule: ribosomal RNA, 435 nt
Filed under: Escherichia coli
Lineage: Bacteria; Pseudomonadati; Pseudomonadota; Gammaproteobacteria; Enterobacterales; Enterobacteriaceae
Also listed under: 2 other names
Description: partial 23S ribosomal RNA
Rfam family: Bacterial large subunit ribosomal RNA
Source: RNAcentral
UCAUAGUGAUCCGGUGGUUCUGAAUGGAAGGGCCAUCGCUCAACGGAUAAAAGGUACUCCGGGGAUAACAGGCUGAUACCGCCCAAGAGUUCAUAUCGACGGCGGUGUUUGGCACCUCGAUGUCGGCUCAUCACAUCCUGGGGCUGAAGUAGGUCCCAAGGGUAUGGCUGUUCGCCAUUUAAAGUGGUACGCGAGCUGGGUUUAGAACGUCGUGAGACAGUUCGGUCCCUAUCUGCCGUGGGCGCUGGAGAACUGAGGGGGGCUGCUCCUAGUACGAGAGGACCGGAGUGGACGCAUCACUGGUGUUCGGGUUGUCAUGCCAAUGGCACUGCCCGGUAGCUAAAUGCGGAAGAGAUAAGUGCUGAAAGCAUCUAAGCACGAAACUUGCCCCGAGAUGAGUUCUCCCUGACUCCUUGAGAGUCCUGAAGGAACGUU